RNAcentral lists this ribosomal RNA (252 nucleotides) under uncultured bacterium. RNAcentral's name for it is "partial 16S ribosomal RNA". It matches the Rfam family "Bacterial small subunit ribosomal RNA", at positions 525 to 776 of the family's 1533-position model. The record is from RNAcentral.
ACGAGGGGUGCAAACGUUAUUCGGAAUUACUGGGUGUAAAGGGUACGUAGACGGCAUAUUAAGUCAAUUGUUAAAUUCCCCAGCUUAACUGGGGGUAGGCGGUUGAAACUAAUAAGCUAGAGGAUGAGAGAGAGAAGUGGAAUUCUCGGAGUAGCGGUAAAAUGCGUAGAUCUCGAGAGGAACACCGAUGGCGAAGGCAGCUUCUUGGCUCAUUUCUGACGUUGAGGUACGAAAGCGUGGGGAGCAAACAGG